This 340-nucleotide ribosomal RNA is filed under the name uncultured Fibrobacterota bacterium. RNAcentral describes it as "bacterial SSU rRNA". It matches the Rfam family "Bacterial small subunit ribosomal RNA", at positions 29 to 351 of the family's 1533-position model. The record is from RNAcentral. Lineage: Bacteria; Pseudomonadati; Fibrobacterota.
AAUGAACGCUGGCGGCGUGCCUAAUACAUGCAAGUUGUGCGAGAAAGUGGGAGCAAUCCCGCGAGUAAAGCGGCGCACGGGUGAGUAACACGUAAGCAACCUGCCUUCAAGUUCGGAAUAACCUUGCCAACGCGGGGCUAAUACCGGAUGUGAUCCCGAGACCGCAUGGUUUUGGGAUUAAAGCUGACCUCUACUUGUAAGUUUGCGCUUGAAGAUGGGCUUGCGUACCAUUAGCUAGUUGGUGGGUAACGGCCUACCAAGGCUGUGAUGGUUAGCCGACCUGAGAGGGUGAUCGGCCACAUUGGGACUGAGAUACGGCCCAGACUCCUACGGGAGGCUG